This 297-nucleotide long non-coding RNA is filed under the name Elaeis guineensis (African oil palm). Its description in RNAcentral is "long non-coding RNA (EGUI_LNC005061)". Lineage: Eukaryota; Viridiplantae; Streptophyta; Magnoliopsida; Arecales; Arecaceae. The record is from RNAcentral.
UCCUACUCCAAAUCUGAUCAGAUAUAAAUUUAAUCUAAAUCUCUUUUUUCAAAAUUAUAAUUAUUUUAGAAUGUUUGCAUGAUUCAUUCUUUAUCCAACUUGAUCUCAUCCGAUCUUAUCCGUCUUAUUUAUCCGGCUUGAUCCGACCCAUGCCAUCUAUUUUAUUCGAUCCGAUCCAUCUUCAUGCGGGUACAUGAUGGAUAUAGAUAUAGAGUUUUUAAUUAUGAAAUGAGUACAUAUAUUAGCUGAUCUGAUCUAUUGCCAUUCCUAUUAGUAAUCUACACUGCCACUUUCUGC